Molecule: long non-coding RNA, 272 nt
Organism: Lontra canadensis (Northern American river otter)
Lineage: Eukaryota; Metazoa; Chordata; Mammalia; Carnivora; Mustelidae
Exons: 3
Source: RefSeq, a predicted model, not a curated record
GUAACCCAGGGAUGAGAAACCAAAACAAAAGGAGGCACUACCUGAGAGAUGAGAUAUGAAACCUGAACCUGGGAAGGAAGUGGAAGGAGCACCUGGGCUCAAGGACCUGACCUGAAGGCUGAUCUCCAGAAGCUGCCUCAGGCAAAGGCUGGGCGUGUAACUGGAUAUCACCCUGAUGUCAAGGCGAGAAAUCUGCCCUUUUUAGAGUCCAUUAAAAUGCUGGAAGCAGGUGCACGAAUUUUUUCAAGUAUGACACAGACCCCAAAGCAAAG